CCUACGGGCGGCAGCAGUGGGGAAUAUUGGGCAAUGGGCGCAAGCCUGACCCAGCAACGCCGCGUGAAGGAAGAAGGCUUUCGGGUUGUAAACUUCUUUUGUCAGGGACGAAGCAAGUGACGGUACCUGACGAAUAAGCCACGGCUAACUACGUGCCAGCAGCCGCGGUAAUACGGAGGUGGCAAGCGUUAUCCGGAUUUACUGGGUGUAAAGGGCGUGUAGGCGGGACUGGAAGUCAGAUGGGAAAACCACGGGCUCAACCUGUGGCCUGCAUUUGAAACUGUAGUUCUUGAGUACUGGAGAGGCAGACGGAAUGCGUGGUGUAGCGGUGAAAUGCAUAGAUAUUAGGAAGAACACCAGUGGCGAAGGCGGUAUGCUGGACAGCAACUGACGCUGAGGCGCGAAAGCGUGGGGAGCGAACAGGAUUAGAUACCCUUGUAGUC
RNAcentral lists this ribosomal RNA (443 nucleotides) under uncultured bacterium. Its description in RNAcentral is "partial 16S ribosomal RNA". It matches the Rfam family "Bacterial small subunit ribosomal RNA", at positions 338 to 795 of the family's 1533-position model. The record is from RNAcentral.